RNAcentral lists this long non-coding RNA (1532 nucleotides) under Homo sapiens (human). RNAcentral describes it as "HSALNT0164291". Lineage: Eukaryota; Metazoa; Chordata; Mammalia; Primates; Hominidae. The record is from RNAcentral.
CUGGGCUGCAGAUCCCACCAACAAACACGAAGAUCUUGGUGUUUCAGCACAUGAAUGGCUCGUGCUGAUCGGAUGAAGAGUUCGUGGUGGUGGAUUGCGUCUCCUGGUGGACUGCACUGUGUAUGACAGAGAUGAUGUACUAAACUCCACAGCUCGAUUUGGCCAAUUUCGAGUUGAAAGGAUGGUACUGGACCCAGGCCUCAUAAGUAGCUUGUCAUCAAGAUCUCUAGUAGCCAAAUCAGAAACCCACAAUGAAGUAAAGAUCAGUAUGUCAAGGAAGACAAGACUAACGGGGUAAAAAGCCUUAGACUAGAAACUACAUUUAGGGGGAAAUAAAGCAAAAAUAAAAACCUUUCAAUAAGUAACACUAGUUUCCAGAUGGUACUCUAGCUCAGGCAUGAGAAUCUGUUCUUAAAAGUGGGACAUUAUUUCAAUCAUAAACAUAAUUUACUAGAAUGGACAUUUGGCAAAGCAAGUCCAUUAUCCACCUGCCAUCACAGUCACUUUUUUAGUCACCAGUGAAGGCAAGCCUGAAGGACACCUACUCCAAAGUGCUUCCCAAAAAUUUGCCACAGGGGCUGAUUCCUACUCUGUUUGAGGCAUUCUUUUGUGCUGAAAGAUUGUCACCAGAAAGACAACUGAAAGACAAAUAUUGCUGCUUGGGAGCAGUUGUGGCACCAGUGUGGCUCCCACUGUAGCAAUUAAAGUGCUGAGCAAGUUGGAGCUGGCAGGGAUUUGGGUUUGGGUUCUUUGGAAAGCUGGGAGUGGGCAAAGGGUCUUGUGCUGCCCAGAGCCAGAGCUGUUGGGACCACAGUAGCCCUAUUUGCAUAAAUAACUGAAAUACAACCCUUUUCUGUAAGUCGUCCAAUAAAUAAAAUAAUACCACACCUAAACAGUUCAGUAGCUUAAAUACUGCCCUACAGAUUCAGGUGUGUAUUUUUUUUUCUUUUAAAGCAAGUGAGAGGACAUUUGACUAUUUUAAGACAUCUAAGAGUAUCCGCACAAUUAAAUGGAAGAGAAGUGAAAGAAUAACGCAGCUAAGCUCUGCCAUUUGCUCCUAUAGCUUUCAGCAAGUUCCUCAACCUUUCAGGCCACUUUGGUGUCCUCUAGUGCAAAACAUGGCACCGUGCUUGGAGGACUUUGAAGGGAUGCUGCCCAUCAAGGAACAGGGCUAAACCUGGAGACUGUUCUGGUCUUCCUGCCUCUCUAGCAAUUCACUUAUGCCUUUUUUUUUUUUUUAACACACCCUAACUGCUUUCUAAUUACAAAAUGUUUAGGCUUUAGCUGCCCUAUGUUCACCUUUAUUUUGUUCUAUGAACUUCUGGAUUUGAUUGUCUUCUCUAGCCAGGUGACUUUUAGAUUGGUCUCUAGAUCCGACCUCUUCCACAUUGCCAGUGAGAUGGCCCCUCACUGUAAACACACCCCAGAAGAAACCCAUCUUUUCCGCCAACAGAGGCUUCCCUCAAGCUUGAAAUCGAGAUAACUUUGAUUCCUCUAUUUCUAUAGAAUUUCACUUAAAUUUCACUCCCAAA